AUUGAACGCUGGCGGCAGGCCUAACACAUGCAAGUCGAGCGGAUGAAGGGAGCUUGCUCCUGGAUUCAGCGGCGGACGGGUGAGUAAUGCCUAGGAAUCUGCCUGGUAGGGGGGUAUAACGUCCUGAAACAGGCGCUAAUACCGCAUACGUCCUGAGGGAGAAAGUGGGGGAUCUUCGGACCUCACGCUAUCAGAUGAGCCUAGGUCGGAUUAGAUAGUUGGUGGGGUAAAGGCCUACCAAGCCGACGAUCCGUAACUGGUCUGAGAGGAUGAUCAGUCACACUGGAACUGGGACACGGUCCAGACUACUAAGGGAGGCAGCAGUGGGGAAUAUUGGACAAUGGGCGAAAGCAUGAUCCAGCCAUGCCGCGUGUGAGAAGAAGGUCUUCGGAUUGUAAAGCACUUUAAGUUGGGAGGAAGGGCAGUAAGUUAAUACGUUGCUGUUUUGACGUUACCAACAGAAUAAGCACCGGCUAACUUCGUG
This 484-nucleotide ribosomal RNA is filed under the name uncultured bacterium. RNAcentral describes it as "partial 16S ribosomal RNA". It matches the Rfam family "Bacterial small subunit ribosomal RNA", at positions 30 to 507 of the family's 1533-position model. The record is from RNAcentral.